UGCAUGCUUUUUUCCGGGUGGUUGCUAAUUCUGUUGGUUUUUAGGUUUGUGGUGUUCUAAAUAGAAGCGAAUCGAAUAAAGUUGUCAUAAUAGAUUAUGUGCCAGCUGGAGUAUACAUUACAGGUUAUCUUACAAAGUUGCAAGUGGGAUAUUUGCAUGUGGAAAGUUCACAGAUCGGCCAUAUUACCACCCACUUUGUAUCACUCCGGGUGCCAACCACUGACAUAUUGCACCGAGGGUUGUCCCUCCUCCUGAUUUAUCGCACGCUCCAAGAGGGUGUUCGGCGUAAGGAGCCUACCAUGAAAAAUCGCUCAGCUCUUAUGGUUUACAUCUAUCAGUUCAACUAGAAGCAACCCCGGCGGAACACAUCCUAGAGCAAGCUGACUGGGGUUGAUUCAUGACCUGUCGCCGCGCGCUGUAAUGGAGCUCCUUUCUCCUUCUCCCCCUCGACCAGCCCUGGAUGGACGAAAUCCCGAAAGUUCUACUAAAAUUCGAAUGACGUUGUGAAAUAUGGAUCAGAUUCAUACCAUUUUCGCGGCGGUAACGCAACCGAAAAACGGACCCAUCGGCCGGACUGCGACACCUGACCUACCAUAACACCUUGGUCGACAAAGACAAGCAAAUGUUUUUGGUGCGGACCGUAGCGAGUAAAAUACAAAGGGGGUGUAACUGACUGGGCCACGGUAAUACGUCAUCGCUCAUCCGGACUGAGUCCGGCACAAUUCGGGAGAAGUCCGGGGCUCCGGGGCACUGCACUGGUUUGCACUGUUGUCUAUGAGAAGAGAUUUGAAUUUGAAUGAGCGUCUUAGGGGUGAAGAGUUAAAGGGUAAUUAUCAGCGGCGUUAACAACCGUCGCUGCUCCUCUGGAUUGAUAGAUGUUUAGCGGUAGACAAAAAUUAAGUGCUU
Molecule: long non-coding RNA, 906 nt
Organism: Zophobas morio
Lineage: Eukaryota; Metazoa; Arthropoda; Insecta; Coleoptera; Tenebrionidae
Exons: 4
Source: RefSeq, a predicted model, not a curated record